UGGGGAAUAUUGGACAAUGGGCGAAAGCCUGAUCCAGCCAUGCCGCGUGAGUGACGAAGGCCUUAGGGUUGUAAAGCUCUUUCAACGGUGAAGAUAAUGACGGUAGCCGUAGAAGAAGCCCCGGCUAACUCCGUGCCAGCAGCCGCGGUAAUACGGAGGGGGCAAGCGUUGUUCGGAAUAACUGGGCGUAAAGCGCUCGUAGGCGGGUAGGUCAGUCAGGGGUGAAAUCCCGAAGCUCAACUUCGGAACUGCCUUUGAUACUGCCAACCUAGAGUCCGGAAGAGGUGAGUGGAAUUCCUAGUGUAGAGGUGAAAUUCGUAGAUAUUAGGAAGAACACCAGUGGCGAAGGCGGCUCACUGGUCCGGUACUGACGCUGAGGAGCGAAAGCGUGGGGAGCAAACAGGAUUAGAUACCCCUGUAGUCC
RNAcentral lists this ribosomal RNA (424 nucleotides) under uncultured prokaryote. RNAcentral describes it as "bacterial SSU rRNA". It matches the Rfam family "Bacterial small subunit ribosomal RNA", at positions 355 to 796 of the family's 1533-position model. The record is from RNAcentral.